RNAcentral lists this ribosomal RNA (297 nucleotides) under uncultured bacterium. Its description in RNAcentral is "partial 16S ribosomal RNA". It matches the Rfam family "Bacterial small subunit ribosomal RNA", at positions 28 to 334 of the family's 1533-position model. The record is from RNAcentral.
GAUGAACGCUGACAGAAUGCUUAACACAUGCAAGUCUACUUGAUCCUUCGGGUGAUGGUGGCGGACGGGUGAGUAACGCGUAAAGAACUUGCCCUGCAGUCUGGGACAACAUCUGGAAACGGAUGCUAAUACCGGAUAUUAUGGUUUUUUCGCAUGGAGGAAUCAUGAAAGCUGGAUGCGCUAAGAGAGAGCUUUGCGUCCCAUUAGCUAGUUGGUGAGGUAACGGCCCACCAAGGCAAUGAUGGGUAGCCGGCCUGAGAGGGUGAACGGCCACAAGGGGACUGAGACACGGCCCUU